Molecule: long non-coding RNA, 626 nt
Organism: Rhodamnia argentea
Lineage: Eukaryota; Viridiplantae; Streptophyta; Magnoliopsida; Myrtales; Myrtaceae
Exons: 2
Source: RefSeq, a predicted model, not a curated record
GCCUGAUGGGCCCCGUUCAAAGCCCAACUUGGAGGAGCCCCUGACGUGGCGAAGGAUGAAGGCGCGGGAGUCAAAACGACGGUGCGCCGUCGUCGUGCCGUGGUUUUACCCGAUCGAACCUCAAAUCCCUCUGCGAUUUUGCACUGGCAGUACAUCGAAUCAAGUGCAUCGAUCUUGAAGAAGAAGAAGAAGAAGAAAAUGGCGAUGAUCAUGAAAGGAGAGCCGCUGGUUGCGAAGCUCGCAGCGCUGGCCAAGUACGUGGUUCUUCCUGGUGCCAUGGCGGCUGCUGUCAUCUACUCGCCUCCCAACUACGCUUCCUCCUCCAACAAGGACGACAAAUCCCCUAAAUAAUCCCCUUCUCUUUGCUGGUGGAUGGGGCGUGCAUCCCGUGGUUGAUCUUUGGAAGAUGGAGGUAUGCUGUACUUCUGGCGGACGGCUCAGUAUCUUUUACCUGCAGGUGGUUCGGGCCAUCAUGCAGACUUUUGAUGUUCUGUCAUACUUUGCUUUACAUUUCUGUGAAAUGUGGCACUUAAUAAUUCAGAUGGCUUGCGAUCACCAUGAAUUGCAUAGACAUUCCGGAUAUUGUGUAGGUGUCCAAUUUCUUAGUUCUGUUUCUUGUUGCUCAA